AUACCAAGGAGCAUGAUUGCUGGAGCGUAUGGAAGAUUUGCUCUGAGCUAACAUCUGUUGCCGGUUUUCCUCUUCUUUUGUGUGUGAGCCACCGCCACAGCAUGGCCACUGACAGAAAGUUCAAAGGAUGAAACAGUCGAAGCACGCUUGAUGAUUUUCUUCUGAAAACAUUGGCCAUCCAAAUAGGAUUAAAAUGGCCCAAAACACUUCCUUGUCUCAUUUACAGUCAUGAGAAGAAGGGGAACCACGGCAAGCGGCCCAUUUAAGCUCAUUAAAUGAAUAGUUUUCUUUUCUCAUCCUGUGUGACUGAUGAGAGACUUGUUAUUUCUGAUAUUGCUGUAUGUCGAAUGUGUUAACGGGGAAUUUGAAGUUACUGA
Molecule: long non-coding RNA, 377 nt
Filed under: Equus asinus (donkey)
Lineage: Eukaryota; Metazoa; Chordata; Mammalia; Perissodactyla; Equidae
Description: lncRNA (ENSEASG00005027711.1)
Source: RNAcentral